AAUAGAGGUAAUGAGAUUUCUCUUAUCACCUCGGCAGCAAGCGAAGGUACCUUUGGUACCCGCGACGUAGUCCCCCCGGCUACGUCGCGAACUUUUUUU
This 99-nucleotide non-coding RNA is filed under the name uncultured Aliivibrio sp. Its description in RNAcentral is "Translational regulator of tfoXVC". It matches the Rfam family "Translational regulator of tfoXVC". Lineage: Bacteria; Pseudomonadati; Pseudomonadota; Gammaproteobacteria; Vibrionales; Vibrionaceae. The record is from RNAcentral.